CAAAGUCUGCCUCUGGGAUCAGGAGGAACUUAUCAUUUCACCUCCAUCAGCUCUGAGGACAGAGGAUUCUACGACUGCAAAUCUGAUGAUCAGUCUGUGUCUUUGUUCAUAAAUGUCCUGUAUGCUCCAAAGCUUCCCUCUGUGUCAGUGAGCCCAUCUGGUGAGAUAAUGGAGGGAAGUUCAGUGACUCUGACCUGCAGCAGUGAUGCUAACCCAGCAGCUAACUACACCUGGUACAAGGAGAAUGAAGACUCACCACUUCAUUCAGGACAGACCUUCACCAUGACUGACUUCAGAGCUGAACACAGUGGGAAUUAUUACUGUGAAGCUCAGAACACGAGAGGACGUCAUAACUCCACCUUAUAUCUGAAUGUUGCAUCACGUUCAUGGAAGUUCCCAGUUGCUCUGUUGAUCGCUGCUGUCAUGUUGGCCUUCAUUCUUCUCUUUCUCCUGCUAUGGAUUAG
Acanthochromis polyacanthus (spiny chromis) is the source of this 464-nucleotide long non-coding RNA. RefSeq lists it as uncharacterized. The transcript has 3 exons. Lineage: Eukaryota; Metazoa; Chordata; Actinopteri; Pomacentridae. The record is from RefSeq and is a predicted model, not a curated record.